This 95-nucleotide transfer RNA is filed under the name mine drainage metagenome. Its description in RNAcentral is "tRNA-Trp". The record is from RNAcentral.
UGCGCGAAGUGCUCGACGAGGCCACCGGCAUCACCUCCAAGGUGGUGGUGGACUGGAAGCAGCAGCCGCGCGGCUCCGAUCUGCGUCCCCGCAUC